UACGAAGGGGGCUAGCGUUGUUCGGAAUUACUGGGCGUAAAGGGCGCGUAGGCGGCCUGUUAAGUCGAACGUGAAAUCCCCAGGCUCAACCUGGGAACUGCGUCCGAUACUGGAUGGCUUGAAUCCGGGAGAGGGAUGCAGAAUUCCAGGUGUAGCGGUGAAAUGCGUAGAUAUCUGGAGGAAUACCGGUGGCGAAGGCGGCAUCCUGGACCGGCAUUGACGCUGAGGAGCGAAAGCUAGGGGAGCAAACGGG
Molecule: ribosomal RNA, 253 nt
Filed under: uncultured bacterium
Lineage: Bacteria
Description: partial 16S ribosomal RNA
Rfam family: Bacterial small subunit ribosomal RNA
Source: RNAcentral